This 460-nucleotide ribosomal RNA is filed under the name uncultured bacterium. RNAcentral describes it as "partial 16S ribosomal RNA". It matches the Rfam family "Bacterial small subunit ribosomal RNA", at positions 338 to 795 of the family's 1533-position model. The record is from RNAcentral.
CCUACGGGAGGCUGCAGUGAGGAAUAUUGGUCAAUGGCCGGGAGGCUGAACCAGCCAAGUCGCGUGAGGGAAGACGGCCCUACGGGUUGUAAACCUCUUUUGUCAGGGAGCAAGGUGCAGGUCGGGACCUGCUGUGAGAGUACCUGAAGAAAAAGCAUCGGCUAACUCCGUGCCAGCAGCCGCGGUAAUACGGAGGGGGUGAGCGUUAUCCGGAUUUACUGGGUGUAAAGGGAGCGUAGACGGUUCUGCAAGUCUGGAGUGAAAGCCCGUGGCUUAACCGCGGAACGGCUUUGGAAACUGUGGAACUGGAGUGGUGGGGAGGCAAGCGGAAUUCCUAGUGUAGCGGUGAAAUGCGUAGAUAGUAGGCGGAACACCAGUGGCGAAGGCGGCUUGCUGGACAGUAACUGACGUUGAGGCUCGAAAGCGUGGGUAGCAAACAGGAUUAGAUACCCGGGUAGUC